Molecule: non-coding RNA, 29 nt
Filed under: Homo sapiens (human)
Lineage: Eukaryota; Metazoa; Chordata; Mammalia; Primates; Hominidae
Source: RNAcentral
UGGUGAAAUUGCUAGUGGCCAAAAUCCUG